Molecule: long non-coding RNA, 770 nt
Organism: Schistocerca gregaria
Lineage: Eukaryota; Metazoa; Arthropoda; Insecta; Orthoptera; Acrididae
Exons: 4
Source: RefSeq, a predicted model, not a curated record
GUCGGUUGCGAGCAGUUCGAUAACGGUCGCGGCUUCGGCUGAUGCGACCUCAAACUCGCAGGGGCAUUAUUUCGAAGAACGCAGCAAUCUUGAACCAACCGCCAUAUUUCCAGAAACGAAAAAAUGAGUCCGGCUGCAGAUUUUGUUCUACGUGCACCACUGGGUCACUGCCUCUCUGAAGAAUCUUCAGAACAAAACUCUCACCUUCUUGCUUGCCAGUAAUUAUUGCCCAGCAGCUGCAUUCUUGGAGUUGCACCACUGUACAGAGGCAUAAACAUUCCACUGAAAGUGAAAGAGGCACUGACAGAUCCCAGACUUCACUGGGAAACAUAACAUUGUCUCACUUGUCAUGGAGCAAUGCUGACUAAGUUCUUGAGACAGACAAAGGGAGACAGACAUAACAGAGGAAGCUGCAUACCAAUAAGCUGUUGAAGUGAGUCUAUUAAAGAGCAAUACAUAUUGUACAAGUUAAAUCAAGUGUUAGUUGUGAGUGUCAAGAAGUUAUGACCCCAUCCACUGGCACGCAAGGAUUGCAUUCUACAUACUGUUUUUGUGCAUAAUUAAGACGCAGAUUUGUUUCCACCGUAUAUGUUCUGUGAGAUGUACACCUUUUUAGAGCUGACUGGUCUAUAUGACUCUACAAAAUGAUCACAAGAUGAAUAAAUGUAAUUUUGUUUCACAGUCCACAAAGAGAGACCAUUUUACCAUAUAUUCAAACAAAUAUUUGUCAAAGACUUGUUUAUUACCAAAUAUAUGUUUUCUGAACUUCA